Molecule: transfer RNA, 77 nt
Filed under: Lachnospiraceae bacterium
Lineage: Bacteria; Bacillati; Bacillota; Clostridia; Lachnospirales; Lachnospiraceae
Description: tRNA-Met
Rfam family: tRNA
About the family: Transfer RNA (tRNA) molecules are approximately 80 nucleotides in length. Their secondary structure includes four short double-helical elements and three loops (D, anti-codon, and T loops).
Source: RNAcentral
GGCGGAAUAGCUCAGUUGGCUAGAGCACACGGUUCAUACCCGUGGUGUCGAGGGUUCAAAUCCCCCUUCCGCUACCA